RNAcentral lists this ribosomal RNA (253 nucleotides) under uncultured bacterium. Its description in RNAcentral is "partial 16S ribosomal RNA". It matches the Rfam family "Bacterial small subunit ribosomal RNA", at positions 524 to 776 of the family's 1533-position model. The record is from RNAcentral.
UACGUAGGGGGCAAGCGUUGUCCGGAAUCAUUGGGCGUAAAGCGCGUGUAGGCGGCCCGGUAAGUCCGCUGUGAAAGUCGGGGGCUCAACCCUCGAAUGCCGGUGGAUACUGUCGGGCUAGAGUGCGGAAGAGGCGAGUGGAAUUCCUGGUGUAGCGGUGAAAUGCGCAGAUAUCAGGAAGAACACCCGUGGCUAAGGCGGCUCUCUAGUACGGUACUGACGCUGAGACGCGAAAGCGUGGGGAGCGAACAGG